This 1203-nucleotide long non-coding RNA is filed under the name Sarcophilus harrisii (Tasmanian devil). RNAcentral's name for it is "lncRNA (ENSSHAG00000028052.1)". Lineage: Eukaryota; Metazoa; Chordata; Mammalia; Dasyuromorphia; Dasyuridae. The record is from RNAcentral.
CCUUUACCUGUGCUAGGACAGAGUAUGUGAGGCAGAUUCUCCUGACUUACAUGAUGUCUUUCAGGUGAGGAAGAGACAAAACCAAUGGAUCCUCAGGUGGCAUAUAUGAUACGGAAUAUCACUGGCUUUUGGAUACUAUUACAUAUGUAUUGUUCAUUCACGUUUUUCAAAAUUAGAAAAAGACUAAAGAAAAACGCUUUUAUGUGGCACAUGCAUGGGAUCCUGUCAGUGACUUAUUCAAUGGAAGUGGGUGCUUGUAUUUGUUAUUUGUGGACAAAGCACAGUUGUCCAGGAUUUAUUCUAAAGGAGGAUUGGGUGAACUGGUGUUCUUGGAGUCUCAUUUUGACCAUAUACAUGCUCAUAAUAAUAAUUAUUUUGAAAUUUUUCGCUAAGUUUUUUUUCUUUUUUAUGAUAAUGCUCUUUUCAAUGAAUUUUGCCAAUAUUGAGGGCAUUAUCUUUUCAAUGCCUAUAUUAAGGUUACUUUUUGUAAGGUUUCUUCCCCUUAUUCUUUCAAAAAUGCACUCUGCUACUGGGAGAUAGGAGGCCCUGUCCCAGGCUUUCUGUGCAGCUCUGAGCCUUGGCUUUGAGCACAAAGGCCCCUCGUGUUUGCAGGGGGAAGCUUUGACUGCUCUGUUUAGGAAAUAGCCUGUUUCCCAGAGUUUGCUAUCUGAACUGGGACUGGAAGCUGACCUACUGAUUUGUUCUUAGACUGAGCCAGGGCUGAGCAUUUUCAGUGUGAUUUGCUUUCAUUAAGACCCUCUCACCAAAUUUUCCCACAGUCUAUCUGAGCUGGCCUGAACACACUUUUCAUCCCAAUCAGACUGACUUUUCUUGAACUUUUUUCCAGUCUAUGUUGAGCUGGAAAUUAGAUUCAUUCCAUUAGAUUCUAUUCAGAGGCUUGGUUUCAUGUGAUUUUCCAGGGAAACUGGGAGAACUGGAGCAGCUCCCUGAUUUUAUUCCACCAUCUUGCCCCACCUCAGAAGUCUUUUUUCCCUAUUCUUAUUUAAAGGUUUGAGUUCCAAAUUCUGUCCCUCUCUUCCUUCUCUCCCCUCCCCAAGAUUGUAAGCAGUCAGAUAUAGUUUAUACAUGUGCAACUAUGUAAAACACUUCCCUAGUAGUCAUUUUGUACAAGAAGACUCAAAUGAAAGAAAAAAAGCAAUAAAGAGAUAAAUACCAUAUUUCACCCUGAAUUCAGCCAGUAUG